AUAAAGGACUUGUCUAGGGGAGAGCCUAUGGAUCUGAGAACGCUGUCUGGGCUUGGUACCAAGAGCUGGUAUUUCACAGCAGCGACCGCCUCACAGACGAGCUGUGGGAAGCAGGAGGGAGACUCUCUCUUAGGGUGCCACUACUAUGGAGACACAGCUGGGCUGAACAAGAUUUGCUUCAAACGACAACAAGAGAGACAGAAAGUAUCUGGUUCAACCGCUGCCCGAGCAGGCAGGCACCAGAAGAGCUAGCAGCCAAUCCGGCCAUGCUCGAAGCCAGCUCUGCAGCUCAGCCAAUCAGUGACAUCAUUGCUUUCUUUAGCUUGCCCAUGGUGAUGUGAAGAUGAGAAGAAAUAGCAAGGCCCAACCAGUUCUUCAUCUGGAGACAGUUCAACGUUCUGCAAACCAGAUCUUCAGGAAUUUUACUGGGAUAAUUAUCCAAAUAAAUUGCAAGCAUUCUAUCCAAAUGGACAUCCAUAAAAAUUCAUCAGAGAGCAUUUUACUACUGAGCUGCAAAGGGAAAAACUUAAAAUGGAUAUGAAAAGUGAAGAAAGUGAUCAUAGGAGAAAACCAUUUCAGGUGUCUGAUGAUUUGUGAGCCUCAAGUGACUACUCUGUGGAAUCAUCUGUCCUUGCCUUUGAAUUAGCUUUCCCUAGGCCAUGAGUCAACAUUAGUAGUUUAUACAUCCAAAUUGAUGACAAGAGCACCUCAAAGGCAGCAGCCUCAAGGAGCAGCCAUGGCCCCAGACUUGUCGCACGGAUGCAGAAAACUUAAUGGAGGAGGCUGAGGUCAGAAUGGGAAGAGUUUUUAAAAAAUAAAAAGGGGAGCUAAUAUGUGAGGAACUGAUUGCUGUGCAUUAUUUUCCACUGAACAGACCUUCUUUUAACUUCUAAUCUCAAGCACAUAGCAGCUGUUGUUUUCAUAUUAAAGAUCAGUAAGUGUUUGUUGAAUGAAUGUAUAAAUUCUUCCCCAAUCUCUGUUCCAUGUAAUAAGAACUAAGUUAGCAUUCAAUUAUAAAGAGGACUUAGAAAGUCUGCAGACAUUUUUGAUCAAAAAUCCUUUUAACUGUCUUCUUAUGGUUCCCGGUAACACCUAAGCCCAAAAAACUCAGGUCAUUUCUUGCCUGUACUGUUGCAAUAGCCUCAUAAUAACUAGUCUUCUCCUUUAUCAACCACAGUCGUCUCCGCUACACAAAGAAGAGAGGGUGCUAAUCUAAAGUGUAAAUUAUUUUAAAUCAGCACCCUUCUUGUAAUUUCCCAGUGGUUUUUCCUGUCAUAAGAAUAACAUGCAAAAUUCCUUGCUUGCAAAGCCAGGUAUGACCUUGCCCCGUCUACCUUACUGGCAUCGUCUCUCAUGACUCUUCCCCUUUUUCACUCUCCAUCUUGCCUUUUCCCAACCAUGCCUGCUAGUGAGCCUUAGCCCUUGUGUUUUCUCUGCCAGGGAUGCAUGACUGGCUUCUUUACUUUAUUCUGAUCUCUCUGCUCAAAUGUCAUCUUUUUAGAGAUAGCUUUCCUAAACAUCUUUAAAAGUACCCCAUGAACUGUGAAACACCUUUCCUGCUUUUUCUUCAUAGUACUUAUCACUUCCUGAUAUUAUGUUAGACAACAAGCAAAUAAGUAUAUGCUGUUCCCACUAAAAUAUAAGCUCCAUUUGAACAGGAGCCUUGAUUAUUCCUGAGUAUACCCCUAGUGCCCAGAACCUAGUAGGGCUUUAAUAAAUAUUAGAUUCAUUUGUUGAAUGAAAAAAUGAAUGAAUAAUUGAAUAAAGAUAUCCAGGUAGAGUGUCCGGGCAGCCCAACCUAUGUGAAGCCAGUACAAGAAUGUUUCUGUGACAUAGUGAGCGCAAUUAUUCCUCUAAAUGAUGAACUUGCAUGAGUACACAAGGAUAAAAUUAAGCACGUAGUUUAGAUUUCUGCAAGUCUCUUCCUCAGAUUGAGGAAAAACAAAGAAAUUGAGCUUAUUCUCACCUCAUUCUUACAUGAACUAAAUCCAGAAUAAAGCAUCAUUUAAAUACCAAGCACAUCCCUACCUCAGCCACUCAUGGAAUACUUUAUCUGUAAAGGGACAGAUAGAUAGUAAAUAUUUUUGGCUUUGGGGACCGUACAGUCUGUGUCGCCACUACUCAGCACUUCUGUUGAGGUGUGGAAUCAGCCCUAGACAACACAUAAACAAAUGGGUGUGGCUGUGUUCCAAUAAAAUGUUAUUUAUAAAACUAGGAAAUCAGCAGAUUUAGUCCACAGGCUGUAGUUUGCUGACCCUUGAAUUAGAGAGUCUUCCCCAAAUCCUCUUCCCAAGUUAUUGAAAGAAUGCCCAUAGGACCAUAGCUCCCUCACCUGGUUCUUUCAAGAAAUGAGACAAAUUCAGGGAUGGUUGGAGGGUGGAACGCCUACCUGUGACAUGACUAUUGAGCCUGAUUUCUUUCCUUUUAUCUCUUUAAAGUGAGUCAGGUCUUAACUUUAAACUGUCUCUAAAGUGGCAAUAACUGGGCCAUGUCAAAUACUCCCAAUGACAAAAUUUCUUCUUGGAGAAUGAAUGAGGGUUGCAUACAGUGGUGUGUUGGUAAAUGUUUAGCAACUGGCUCUCUUACUGAUUUCUGUAGUGUAAAUUCUCCCAUCCUGGCCAUCUGAAACUACCAAUAUGAUGUCACUUGAUGUAGAGUUGGGAAAAGACAGUCUCUUGAAUAAGUAUGAGCUGGUUCCAGCCCACUGCUGAACACAUAUUUAAAAGCUACAAUAGCUCUGCUCACUGCCAUUGCAGAGUCUGGAGGAAAGAGUAGCAGGCUUGAUAGGAGCAAUUGGCUGAAUAAUCUUUUGCAAUGCCAAUAAAUAAUGAAAAAGUAUAUAAAUAUAACGCUGUAUAGAAAGCUCUCAAGUUCAGUGUUUGGUUAAAAUACAUACUCAGUAAAUGGUAGCUAUUAUUGUCUUAGUUUAAGUUAUUGCAAGCAUUAAAAUUAAAUGUUUAGCUACAGACUCAAUCCAGUUUUAAUGUCAUUGUGUUAAUAAGGCCUCUUAACAUUGAAGCAACAAAGAUAAAGGAAUUUUUUUGUAGCUAUUCACGAUUCUGCCCAGCUCAAGGUAAAGAUAGCAACAAAAUACUCCAACCAGAAUAAAAGAAGUCUCCACUUGACUGCAGCUCUUCGCAACACUUCACAAGGGUCAAGCUGUGUUAGUUUCCUUCAGUGUUAAACAGAAUGCAUCUUAAGAGAAUAGUUCAAUUAUUGAUUGAAUAGUAGGUUCAAGUUGACUAUAAUCCCAACUAAUACACUCUAAGACCAGGGAUGGGCCGACAGAAGGGUAAAGUUUUCCACUCAAGUCUCGAGGCAAACACUCAGAUAGAAGUAGUAAUAUGGAUGCCUUCUAUUAUUUGGUCACAUACAAUACUGUUCCAGCCCAGUUGUGCAAAACUGGUGAAAUAAAAGGCAAAAAUAUUGACAACAGUUUGGGUAACUGGAUUCCAAAAUGGGCAUCCAUCUAAGAGAAAUUAAUGAAAAAAAAGCAUAUGGACCUUGAAAUACAUUAAUACACAGUUUAGGUUUAAACACUCAGUUUUUAUUAGAAAAGACUAACUUAUCCUGUUUUGAACACUACAAAAGUGCUUUCUGAACCAUUUACUCUCAAACCUCCUCCACCCAUUCCCCUCCAUCUAUAACGCUUUCUGCACAUCUGUAAAAGGUAUGACUUAGUGUUUGGUCUGUGAAAUAAGGUUAAAAAGGAAGCAUUUCUUUUUACAUUCUAGCUAAUGUUGAUAUUUUUCUCAUGCUUCUAUUAGCACAUAAUUCAGAUACAUUAGUUUUGAAGUUUUGAAUCUUCUCUGCUUCUUGAGGGCUCUCUGUUCUAGAUCAACAUGAUCUGUGGAACACCAGCCAAGUCCUGGGCAGAACCCUCCCCGUUGUCCAAAUAUUACUGAAUCAGUUGAGUUUUCUCUGUUGUCAAUGAAUUAUUCCACAUGUUUCUUUGGCUACAUUUUUUUUGGCUUUCUGUUCACAGUAAAUAUAGCCUUUGUUUUUAAAAACUUCUAUUAUGAAAAUUCCAAAUAUAUGCAAAUUAGAGAGAAUAGCAUAAUGAACCUCUAUGUGCUUAUCACACAUAUAGGUUCAACUAAUUAAAUUAUAUCAAUUUAUGGCCAAUCUGGUUUCAUUUAUAACAUCAUUCGCUCAUUCCUAACUCCCUGGAUUAUUUGAUUGACAUGUUUCUAAAGUUCCUUUUAAUCUGUAGGUUCCCCCUCUCAUUUAAUCUUUUGCAACUUAUUCAUUGAUGAAACUGGGUUAUUUGUCCUUUAUUGUUUCUCUCAUUCUGAAAUAUGCUGUAAUGUCAUUAACCAUAUUCUUCUUUCCUGUAUUUUCUGUAAGCUUUGAGCUAGGCAGAAAUAUUUUAAUCAGAUUCCUUUUUUUUUCUUUUAGCAAGAUUUCUUCAUAAAUAAUAUUGUAUGUGUUCAUGAAAAUAGAAAUAAAAAUAGAAAUAAAGAAGAAAUAACAGAAAAAGGACAGAAAUUGUUAAAAUUUUUUUAUGAAAACAGAUAGUAAAUAACAUUGUAAUAAAUCCCAACAGAACAUAGAGAACCUGACUUUAUUGACGUUAGUGGGAGGAGGUUUGUGAUUUUAAAACUAUAUAUUAUGGUUAUGUCAUCUAAAAAUCAAAUAUUCAAGCACAUAUAUUAAAAUUAGUCAUCAUUACAUUUUUCCAAAAUAAAAAAUAAAACUAAACCAACAUUAACCAUCAGUGAUUCCAUCAACUGAGCAAGUUUGAGUAGCAUUACCCUAGUGAAUAUCAGACUAUCGAUUAUUCUAUUCAUGUACCUGAAAUUGGAUAACAGUAUGAAGAAUUUCCUGAACAAAUACAAGAUACAUAUUUAGACCUUCUCCAGUCUAGAGGAAUACUUGCUUCUUGUCAGAAUGAAGAAUGAGGAGUAUUGUUUUAGAACUGGACUUCUUUGAUGACCCUUAAGUAAACCAAUAUGGACCAGAUAACAGGAGCAUUUCAAAGCAUCAGAAUUUUGGGGGAUUCUUGUGGUGGAGCACAAUGAGGCAUUCCAGCCUACUCUAAGAAAAUAGUUCAUCCCUGUCAAUAUCCUGGGAAGCAGAGUUCAGAUAAAACUAUGAAGACACAAUGUAAAAUGUCAGUUGUCUUUGCAAAACAUUAAGUAUAUGUGUAUUCUUGGGAAUGGGGGGAAGUAUGUAAUUAUUUGUGGCUUUUCAAAAAUGAAUGGCUUUUGAAAAGCCACCUCUGUAGUGCCUUUUUGAUUCCUCUUACGAAAAAAACAAACCUGGAAAAAUUAGUAGUCUUUAAUUUAUAGUUAGUUAGCACAUUAUGACAGAACUUUAAUCUCAUAUCUCACUAGGUAGAAAUGAAAUAAUACAUUUUCCCAUUAUAUAUUGAUUGGAGUUAAUUAAAUAUAGUUAGUAUUCCAUUUACAUUGAUGCUUUUUGUUCAAAUCUAUGGUAUUAUGUAUAAAUAUGCCAAUUAUUCAGUAAAACAUCACUAAAAUUAAACCUAUAUUGUUAUGAAGCUGUUAGAAAAUAUCUUCUUUGAAUUCUGAGAGCUGUAUUAUAUUAGUUUAACUAGUUAUCUUGAAAUUCUGAAGUUCCUUGAAUCUAUUUUAAUUUUGUAUCAGGAAUUGGAGAGGUUUUUCCAGAAAAGUGUUACUUAAAUGCAUCAAAUGCAAUGUGGGAAUUUUGACCCACUUCUUGUAUUUCUAUUUUCCUGCUGUUUUUGCCCCCAGAGGAAGAAUAUAAACAUUUUGCUUAUUGUAACACAUUGCUUCAUUAUGAUAUAUUAUUGUUACCAUUUUUUUAAAAAAAGAAUGUUUCUAGGUUUUAAUUAAGCUCCUUCACCUAAUAUGUAAUUUUAAAGUUAUUAUUUCAUAUAAUAUCUAACUUGCCACAGUUAGGAACCUGGAGCAGACUGAACCUUUGGACAAAAUGAUGCCGUUAUUAUGAAAACAGAAAAGCAUAGACCAGGUGUGGUGGCAUAUGCCUAUAAUCCUAGCACUUUGGGAGGCUGAGGUGGUUGGAUCACUUGAGGUCAGGAGGUCAAGACCAGCCUGGCCAACACAGCAAAACCCCGUCUCUAUUAAAACUACAAAAAUUAGCCUGAAAUGGUGGUGGACACCUGUAGUCCCAGCUACUUUGGAGGCUGAGGCAGGAGAAUCGCUUGAACCCGGAGGCAGAGGUUGCAGUGAGCUGAGAUUGUACCACUGCACUCCAACCUGGGCGACAGAGUGAGACUCUGUCUCAAAUAAAUAAAUAAAUAAAUAAAUAAAUAAAUAAAAUCAUAGCUGUAGGCAACUUCAAGCUUAUAAUUUUGCAGAGCAAUAGCAGUAAGAUACUCUGUACAAAGUUAAGUCAAGGAUUAUUGCACAUCUCAUAUGAUGGGAUUCUUUUUUUAAAAGUUUUAUUUUAUUGUAGUAAGAAUACUUAGCAUGAGAUCUACACUCAACAGGUUUUCUAAGUGUACUGUUUAUUAUCACUGAUGAUAGGCACAACAUUGUACAGCAGAUUUCUAGAGUUUAUUCAUCUUGCUUAACUAAAACUUUAUGCCCAUUGAAUAGUAACUCCCCAUUUCCCCUUUCCCCCGCUUCUGACAACACGAUUACCCUUUGGUUCUACAAAUUUGACUAUUUUAGAUACAUCAUGUAAGCGGAAGCAGAAAGUGUUUGUCUUUCUUUGACUAGCUUAUUUCACUUAGCAUAGUGUCGUCCAGGUCAUCAAUGUCAUCCCACACUGCAGAAUCGCCUUUUUUUUUUUUAAUGGCUAAAUAGUAUUUCAUUGUGUAUACGUUUUUUUAUCCAUUUCACCUAUUGAUGGGCAUUAAGGGUGUUUCCACAUCUUGGCUGUUGUGCAUACUCCUGCAUUGUGCUAUUCAUGGGAGUGCUAAUAUCUCUUUGGGAUCUUGAUUUCAAUUCUUUUGGAUAUACAGCCAAAAGCGAUAUUGCUGGAUCAUAUGGUAACUUUUUUUUUCAAUAGUUUUAGGGGUACAGUGGUUUUUGGCUACAUGGAUGAAUUAUAUGGUGGUGCAGUCUAGGCUUUUAGUGUAUCUGUCACCUGAUUAGUGUACAUCGUACCCAAUAUGUAAUUUUUAACCCUCACUCCUCUAGUUUUAUUUAUAUAUAUAAAUACAAUUUUUUUGAAAUGGAGUUUCUCUCUUGUCACCCAGGCUGGAGUGCAAUGACGCAAUCUCAGCUCACUGCAACCUCUGCCUCCCAGGUUCGAGCGAUUCUCCUGCCUCGGCCUCCCGAGUAGCUGGGAUUACAGGCACCUGCCACCACGCCUGGCUAAUUUUUUUGUAUUUUUAGUAGAGAUCGGGUUUCACCAAUUUGGCUGGUCUCGACUCCUGGCUGGUCUCGACUCCUGACCUCAGGUGAUCCACCUACCUCGGCCUCUCAAAGUGUUGGAGUUACAAGCAUGGGCCACCGCACCCGGCCUAUUUAUAAUUUUUUGAGGAAACUUUGUACUUUUUCCCAUAGCUGUACCAUUUUGCAUUUCCACCUACAGUGUUCAAGAGUUCCAGUUUCUCCACAUCCUUACCAAUACUUGUCUUUUUUUUUUUUUAAUAGCCAUCCUGGCAGAUGUAAGGUGAUAUUUCAUCACAGUUUUGAUUUGCAUUUCCCUGAUAACUAAUGACAUUGGACUUUUUUUUAUAUAUCUGCUGGCCACCUGUAUGUCUUCUUUGGAGAAACAUCUAUUCAAGUUUCUAGUUCAUUUUUAAAUUGGAUUAUUUGCUUUUUGCUAUUGAGUUGUUUGAGUUCCUUAUCUAUUUUGAAGCUUAACCCUAUAUCAAAUGGGAUUCUUAUAUUUUUGUUUCAUAUUUUGUAAUAUAUCAGGUCCAUGAAAUUAGCUAUCUUAAGUAAGUUGCUUUUGUGUUGUUUCUUAUGACAAUUCUGAUUAGAAUAUUAAUACAAACGUGAAAUGCAGCUUUUACCAACAAAUGGGCUAGUUUUUAUUGAAUCAAUAAAACCCAUAUUUUGAGAGUUUUACUCAAAAGAACCUAAAAUUCAGUUGAAUAUAAAGAAAUGGGGUUGUUUGUUUUUUUCUUGUAAAUUUGUUUGAGUUCAUUGUAGAUUCUGGAUAUUAGCCCUUUGUCAGAUGAGUAGGUUGCGAAAAUUUUCUCCCAUUUUGUAGGUUGCCUGUUCACUCUGAUGGUAGUUUCUUUUGCUGUGCAGAAGCUCUUUAGUUUAAUUAGAUCCCAUUUGUCAAUUUUGGCUUUUGUUUCCAUUGCUUUUGGUGUUUUAGACAUGAAGUCCUUGCCCAUGCCUAUGUCCUGAAUGGUAAUGCCUAGGUUUUCUUCUAGGGUUUUUAUGGUUUUAGGUCUAACGUUUAAGUCUUUAAUCCAUUUUGAAUUAAUUUUUGUAUAAGGUGGGCGAAGGACAUGAACAGACACUUCUCAAAAGAAGACAUUUAUGCAGCCAAAAAAUACAUGAAAAAAUGCUUACCAUCACUGGCCAUCAGAGAAAUGCAAAUCAAAACCACAAUGAGAUACCAUCCCACACCAGUUAGAAUGGCAAUCAUUAAAAAGUCAGGAAACAACAGGUGCUGGAGAGGAUGUGGAGAACUAGGAACACUUUUACACUGUUGGUGGGACUGUAAACUAGUUCAACCAUUGUGGAAGUCAGUGUGGCGAUUCCUCAGGGAUCUAGAACUAGAAAUACCAUUUGACCCAGCCAUCCCAUUACUGGGUAUAUACCCAAAGGACUAUAAAUCAUGCUGCUAUAAAGACACAUGCACAUGUAUGUUUAUUGUGGCACUAUUCACAAUAGCAAAGACUUGGAACCAACCCACAUGUCCAACAAUGAUAGACUGGAUUAAGAAAAUGUGGCACAUAUACACCAUGGAAUACUAUGCAGCCAUAACAAAGGAUGAGUUCAUGUCCUUUGUAGGGACAUGGAUGAAAUUGGAAAUCAUCAUUCUCAGUAAACUAUCGCAAGGACAAAAAACCAAACACCGCAUGUUCUCACUCGUAAGUG
RNAcentral lists this long non-coding RNA (8957 nucleotides) under Homo sapiens (human). RNAcentral's name for it is "mir-99a-let-7c cluster host gene". Lineage: Eukaryota; Metazoa; Chordata; Mammalia; Primates; Hominidae. The record is from RNAcentral.